RNAcentral lists this small RNA (145 nucleotides) under Arabidopsis thaliana (thale cress). RNAcentral describes it as "ATSL267460". The record is from RNAcentral. Lineage: Eukaryota; Viridiplantae; Streptophyta; Magnoliopsida; Brassicales; Brassicaceae.
AAAUUACUUUGGCUUUUAAGAUCUCGUUGCGGUUCUAGUUCUUAUACUUAAUCAUACACAUGACAUCUAGUCAUAUUCGACUCCAAAACACUAACCAAGCUUCUUCCUGCUUCUCAAAGCUUUGAUGGUGUAGCUGAAGCCCGUA